GACGAACGCUGGCGGCGUGCUUAACACAUGCAAGUCGAACGGAAAGGCCCCCUUGUGGGGUACUCGAGUGGCGAACGGGUGAGUAACACGUGAGUAACCUACCCUUGACUUUGGGAUAACUUCAGGAAACUGGGGCUAAUACCGGAUAGGAGCUCCUGCUGCAUGGUGGGGGUUGGAAAGUUUUGGCGGUUGGGGAUGGACUCGCGGCUUAUCAGCUUGUUGGUGGGGUAGUGGCUCACCAAGGCUUUGACGGGUAGCCGGCCUGAGAGGGUGACCGGCCACAUUGGGACUGAGAUACGGCCCAGACUCCUACGGGAGGCGGCAGUGGGGAAUAUUGCACAAUGGGCGGAAGCCUGAUGCAGCAACGCCGCGUGCGGGAUGACGGCCUUCGGGUUGUAAACCGCUUUCGCCUGUGACGAAGCGUGAGUGACGGUAAUGGGUAAAGAAGCACCGGCUAACUACGUG
This 465-nucleotide ribosomal RNA is filed under the name uncultured bacterium. RNAcentral describes it as "partial 16S ribosomal RNA". It matches the Rfam family "Bacterial small subunit ribosomal RNA", at positions 28 to 507 of the family's 1533-position model. The record is from RNAcentral.